GCCUACAUGGCUUAGUGGUAAAGCGUUUGGCUCGUAACCAAGAGAUCCUAGGUUCGACUCCUAGUGUAGGCA
The sequence is a transfer RNA, 72 nucleotides long. It matches the Rfam family "tRNA". From Rfam's summary of the family: Transfer RNA (tRNA) molecules are approximately 80 nucleotides in length. Their secondary structure includes four short double-helical elements and three loops (D, anti-codon, and T loops). Further hydrogen bonds mediate the characteristic L-shaped molecular structure. tRNAs have two regions of fundamental functional importance: the anti-codon, which is responsible for specific mRNA codon recognition, and the 3' end, to which the tRNAs corresponding amino acid is attached (by aminoacyl-tRNA synthetases). tRNAs cope with the degeneracy of the genetic code in two manners: having more than one tRNA (with a specific anti-codon) for a particular amino acid; and 'wobble' base-pairing, i.e. permitting non-standard base-pairing at the 3rd anti-codon position. The record is from Rfam.